GCGAAAGUCCUUCGGGACUGAGUAGAUCGGCGGACGGGUGAGUAAUACGUGGGUAAUCUGCCCCCGAGCUCGGGAUAACAGUGCGAAAGCGCUGCUAAUACCGGAUAAGACCACAUGACACAUGUUGUGCGGUAAAAGGUGGCUUUAUUUUCGGAUGAGGCUAUCACUUGAGGAUGAGCCCAUGGCCUAUCAGCUUGUUGGUGAGGUAAAAGCUCACCAAGGCGAUGACGGGUAGCUGGUCUAAGAGGACGACCAGCCACACUGGGACUGAGACACGGCCCAGACUCCUACGGGAGGCAGCAGUGGGGAAUAUUGGGCAAUGGGCGAAAGCCUGACCCAGCGACGCCGUGUGGGCGAUGAAGGCCUUCGGGUUGUAAAGCCCUGUGAGGUGGAAAGAAGGGUCCAGAGGUUAAUACCCUUUGGACUUUGACGGUACCACCAGAGGAAGCACCGGCUAACUCCGUGCCAGCAGCCGCGGUAAUACGGAGGGUGCAAGCGUUGUUCGGAAUUACUGGGCGUAAAGGGCGCGUAGGUGGUUGUGUAAGUCAGAUGUGAAAUCCUUAGGCUUAACCUGAGAACUGCA
RNAcentral lists this ribosomal RNA (583 nucleotides) under uncultured Syntrophorhabdus sp. RNAcentral's name for it is "bacterial SSU rRNA". It matches the Rfam family "Bacterial small subunit ribosomal RNA", at positions 69 to 625 of the family's 1533-position model. The record is from RNAcentral. Lineage: Bacteria; Pseudomonadati; Thermodesulfobacteriota; Syntrophorhabdia; Syntrophorhabdales; Syntrophorhabdaceae.